UGGGGAAUAUUGGACAAUGGGGGCAACCCUGAUCCAGCCAUGCCGCGUGAGUGAUGAAGGCCUUCGGGUUGUAAAGCUCUUUUGGCGGGGACGAUGAUGACGGUACCCGCAGAAUAAGCCCCGGCUAACUUCGUGCCAGCAGCCGCGGUAAGACGAAGGGGGCAAGCGUUGUUCGGAAUUACUGGGCGUAAAGCGAGUGUAGGUGGUUGUCAUAGUCAGGUGUGAAAGCCUUGAGCUCAACUCAAGAAAUGCACUUGAUACUGGGCAGCUAGAGGACCGGAGAGGAUAGUGGAAUUCCCAGUGUAGUGGUGAAAUACGUAGAGAUUGGGAAGAACACCAGUGGCGAAGGCGGCUAUCUGGACGGUUUCUGACACUAAGACUCGAAAGCGUGGGGAGCAAACA
Molecule: ribosomal RNA, 402 nt
Filed under: uncultured Rhodospirillaceae bacterium
Lineage: Bacteria; Pseudomonadati; Pseudomonadota; Alphaproteobacteria; Rhodospirillales; Rhodospirillaceae
Also listed under: 1 other name
Description: partial 16S ribosomal RNA
Rfam family: Bacterial small subunit ribosomal RNA
Source: RNAcentral